Molecule: long non-coding RNA, 903 nt
Filed under: Heterocephalus glaber (naked mole-rat)
Lineage: Eukaryota; Metazoa; Chordata; Mammalia; Rodentia; Bathyergidae
Description: lncRNA (ENSHGLG00000032806.1)
Source: RNAcentral
CAGGAUAGAGUUUCCAAUGCUAUAGUGAGUGAGAAUGAUGAGAGUGACCUACUUGUCUUGCUUCCAGUUUUGCUGGACCCAUCUUGAAAGUGCUUUUUCUGAAAGUCAGUGAACCCCGGCUUGUUUCAUGUGUCAGGUGAGCUGAGGAGAUAGCAUCUUUUCUCCAACAGGCUUUGAAGAGAUGCUCCCUGUAGACCCAACAGAGCAGCAGCCCACUGGUUCCUACAGCUGGAUGAUGCCACCUGCUCAGGCCAGGGUCUCAGGGUUCCUCACUGGCCCCUUCCAAUAGCCACAUCCUUCCCAGAAAGAGAGGGGCCUGUCAGCCCUGGGGUCCUCUGUCCAGAGCUGGGGCUCUUCCUUCUGCCCAGGCACUGGGAACUGGGAUGCUGGGAUUCCAACCCAGAAGCUUGAAGCCCACUCUCUGGCCCAUCUUCCCAACAUCCACUGCCCUGGCCUUGUGCUAUCCCUCAAACCCAAGGGCAAGAGGCAGCUUACCUGGAGGGUGUGGCCAGGAGUCCAGCCAGCCUCACUUGCCUUCCCAGGGCUGUAUCUGUGAAUGAAGAAUAGAAGUAUUUCUGUUUAGCAGACUGCCAGCUUGAUGGGUCACUCUAAAGACUUCAUGUGUGGCAAGCAGCCCCUCCCUGAGCCCCCUGCCUGGAGCUGUGAAGGCUGGAGCAGGCCUGUCUACACCUCCUCCCUGGGCUGACUGGUGAGCCCAGCCUCCAGUGCAAAUGGAUUUUUCUUCUCCUAGGAGUCUGAAGGGACAGGGAAUCAUUUUAGGAUCUGUACAUAGUGAGCAGAGUCCCUUCUCCCUCUCAUAAUAAAGCAACCACAGAAGAGAAAUGAGUCACACUGUUAUGGAAGCUGAAGAUGAUGAAGAGCCAUGUCCAGAGCUCACAGGGC